This 1090-nucleotide ribosomal RNA is filed under the name alkali sediment metagenome. RNAcentral describes it as "bacterial SSU rRNA". It matches the Rfam family "Archaeal small subunit ribosomal RNA", at positions 30 to 1099 of the family's 1478-position model. The record is from RNAcentral.
CUAUCGAGAUGGGACUAAGCCAUGCUAGUCGCGCGCGUCCAACCACGAGGACGAGCGGCAUACCGCUCAGUAACACGUAGCUAACCUACCCUCGGGUCGCGGAUAACCCCGGGAAACUGGGGCUAAUCCACGAUAGGUGUGGAGGCCUGGAAUGGUUCCACGCUCAAAUGGACGGCAGUCACGUUUGUCAUCUGCCCGAGGAUGGGGCUGCGGCCGAUCAGGCAGUUGGUGAGGUAAUAGCUCACCAAACCUUUGACCGGUACGGGCCAUGAAAGUGGUAGCCCGGAGAUGGGCACUGAGACAGGGGCCCAGGCCCUACGGGGCGCAGCAGGCGCGAAAACUCCACAAUGUACGGAAGUACGAUGGGGUUAUCUCGAGUGCAGUCCGAUAAGGGCUGCUUUUCCAUAGAGUAAUAUCCUGUGGGAAUAAGAGGGGGGCAAGACUGGUGUCAGCCGCCGCGGUAACACCAGCCCCUCGAGUGGUGGGGACUUUUAUUUGGCCUAAAGCGUCCGUAGCUGGCUGUAUCCGUUUCCCGGCAAAUCCGGCGUCCUAAGCGUCGGGCUUCGGGUAAUACCAUACAGCUAGAGGGUGGGAUAGGUGAGCGGUAUUUCUGGGGUAGGGGCGAAAUCCUUUGAUCCCAGGAGGACCACCAGUGGCGAAGGCUGCUCACUAGAACACGCCUGACGGUCAGGGACGAAAGCUGGGGCAGCGAACCGGAUUAGAUACCCGGGUAGUCCCAGCUGUAAACGAUGCUAGCUAGGUGUUGGGUCGGCCACGCGCCGCCCCAGUGCCGCAGGGAAGCCGUUAAGCUAGCCGCCUGGGGAGUACGGCCGCAAGGCUGAAACUUAAAGGAAUUGGCGGGGGAGCACCACCAGGCGUGAAGCCUGCGGUUUAAUUGGAGUCAACGCCGGAAAUCUUACCAGGAUCGACAGCAUAGUGAAGGCCAGAUUAAAGGUCUUGCUAGACGAGCUGAGAGGAGGUGCAUGGCCGUCGCCAGUUCGUGCCGUGAGGUGUCCUCUUAAGUGAGGUAACGAACGAGACCCCCACCCCAUGUUGCCAUCAGGAUCUAAAGGAUCGCUGGGCACUCUUG